GGUCAGCGGCGCCGGCGUUCCGGGGCUGUUGGCGCCCAGGAAAUGGUUUGGGAAGCGUGGGCGACUCGCUGUCCCCCCCCCCCCCCGGCCGUCUCGCGGAAGAGUUCAAGCUGCUCUCGGCCUCGGGAAGCUGUCUGGAGCCCGCGCUCUGGGCGGUUUCCCACCUGGCAGUAGAGUCGCUUGGGAGUCCAGGCGCUGGAGGGGUUACCCGUCGUUUGCUGGGAGAGGCGGAGGCUGAGCGCCGUGGUCUGGCCAGAGCUACCCAGACGGGCCAGACCCCCUCAUCCCUGCUGCCCAGCACCCGCACACACCUGGGCGUGGGGAGUGAGUUGCCGCGUUGUCCCCUUUGCGGUUUUCUGGAGUUCAAACUAGAAUUCCAAUCUACUUGGUUAAGCCCGAGCCAGCUGCUCCUGACGGCGUAUUAAGAACUCAGUGCCUCUCCCGAUCAAAAAUUGCAUUUUCAACAGUUUGGUGGAAAUCCUAACUACUAACCAUGUUUCACAUUAUUCACGUGUUAUCACUGACCGCCGUUCGGUUGGCACCCAUUUGGCUGUCCCAAAUCUCAGUAGAGGCCUGGUGUGGAAGAGCCCUUUUUUAGCGGCCUUUCUAGUCUGCCGGUGAGCCCAGCUUGUGGCACCAGGAAACAGGUGCAGAACAGGAGCAGUUCCCGUCGGAGACCUGGCUACUCACAGGAGCCGGGGCCAUGACUGCUGCUGCUUUUCACCUGGAGACACAGAGGUUCCCCUUUCCCUGACAGUUUCUGCCACUGUCUUUGGAGCAACUGGAACUGAGAGCUGAAGGCUGAGGCUGAUUGACAGAGUAACCAGAAAGUGAAAACCAGAGGAAGACAGUGUCCUGAAUAGAGUGGACUCUUGAGCCAUUUUUCUGAGGAGCCGCCACUCCAUAGAGGGGACAUCAGUUGUGUUCAGGAGGACAGGGAGAAAGAGAAACUACCUCUUCAAACAUCACUGGGAAACUUGGGUGCUCCUGGGACCAAGAGUUUGGAGAAGGAAGAGUAAUAAGGAAGUAAGCAAAGAGGAAUUUGUUGACAGUUGCAAGCAAAGUAGAAAUAGAUUAGAUGAAUUGGUGUUGGGGAACCUGGAGAGGAAUGUUUAGAGCAAAGAAGACAAGAGGCAUGAAUAGAGGCAUGGCAUGACUUUCAAGCUGUGGAAACGUGAACAGUAAAGUACAACGGACAAUAGGUUGGAUGGAUGUUCCCUGGAGCUGCAGGUGCAGUGGCUGCCACAAGGCGGUGCUCUGACUACAUCUACUUUGGCUUCCACUGUGCUUUUCAUUUUCCCACUCCUCUCUCGUCUUUAAGGGCUCUAACUAGAGGUCUGUCACACUCCAGCCAUAGUCAGCCAGCCUGUUAUUAGUGCCAAGCCAUCCUCCUGGAGCAAUGACAGUGUAAAUUUCAGCAGUGGCAGAAAGGGGACAAAUACAGCUGUUGUGCAUUUUAGAAUAAUUGCCACAGACCAUUUGGAGACAGCUUUAUAAUAACGGCACUUAUACAGACUUAUACAAUAUUUCCCUUUUCUGUUUUAUUCCUCCCUCAACACUUUGCAACAUGAAUGUGUUAAUCCGCUCAUCUUGUGAGUCUAGAAUUAUCUGCUCCCUAAUUUGCUUUUCUUUUACUUUAUUUCAUGUGUUUAUGUUUAAAGCAACUGGCCUUUCUUUGGGCAAUUAGGGUGGUUCAGGUAGAAACCUGUGUUCUGUCUGCUCCCCAGUUUUACAAAAGGAGGCUUGCAGUCCCAGGGAAGGUACCAUUCGCCCUUUUCCUACCUUAUUCCUUCUGCUGGGAGUCCCCCUCUUCCUGCCCUCGCCUUUUCCCAACACAAAUGCUAUUUGUGAAACCCCUCUUCUCACCCCACCCCAAGUCUGGCUCCUCUUUUUGCUUCCAUUGUCCCGAGUUCACUUACCAGCUAGCUAGUGUUUAUCUCAUUGUGUGCUCAGUGUUUCUUAUCUAUCACCUCUAUUCCAAGUUCCUUGAACUUUCUUUAUAUUCCCCAGUGUCCACCACAACUCCCCACAUAGUGAGCACAUGGAUGGCUGGAUAAAUAAAACAGGCUCCAGCAGAUCAAAGCCCUUGCCCCAUCUUGAGUCCGCAGCAGAGUUGGAAAUAUCCAGAAAUUUAGACCCGAACCAGAAUAUCUUGCUGCUGUGGUUGACCGUGGUCUCUCCACAGAAAAGUUCUAAAUGGACCUAAAUGGAGUCCUGCAGUGUGCCACAGAUCCGGGGAGAUGCCCGGAGCUGGCAUAGCAAGACUUCAAGGCCCAUAAUGUGUGCAGAAGGUCUGGAUGAUGCAGAUUACUAAGACCACCUGCCUUACAUGGCAGUUGAAGCAGCGUCCUGGAACUGAUGUCCUCAGAGGCAUGACAAGAAGCAGCAAACCAUGUGAUCCCAUGUUCCUCUGGUUUUUUUUUUUGGGGCGGGGGGAUGGACAUCUCUCUCCAGGUGACUGUGAGACCCCUGAAUUUUAGCACCCUCUGAGAGAAUCAAAGAGGCAUGAACUCCCUGUGUCUGGAUCCAGUGUGUAUCCUUUGCAUGGCUUGCUGGCUGGCUCUGGACCAAACCCACCAAAAGCGAUCUUGCUCUGAACCCGAGUCAUCAUUCCCACCCAUCCUUUCUGAGAUGGUGGAGGAAGGACAGCAUAUUGGGUAUGGUUGUGAAAAAGCUCAUCCCUUUUGGUGUGUCCUCUUUCUUGCGUAAACCAAACUUCUUUUCUGCCCGCCUGUUAAUUCUUCCCUCCCUCUCUUUGUUCCAUCCUUCUUAUGUAUUUAAUGAGUACUCACUAGGUGCCAAGCUCUGUGCUGGAGACACAAAGAUGAAUUAGGUACAGUGCUCUACCUUCAAAGAAUUCACAGGAUUCUGGAAGAGACAGGAAGGUCACAAUAUACUUGUAUAAAUGCCAUAAUGUAGGAGGUAUCUGUGAGACCCUGGAAGUUCAAGGGAGUGGGCCAUAGCACACUAGCAGGUGUUUGGUAGCCAGCUGGUGGGAGGAGCCCUGAUUGGUAGUGUUUGCUGAUGUCUGACGUCCGUGUGGCAGACAUUCCCAUCAUGGCUGCUCUCAAGCUACUAACCUGAUGUCACUGAACAGAGUUGGGAAGGGACGUACACAGUUGGCCCUUUUGAUGCAGUAAGAGCCAUUUCUAGUAUACCACCAUGACUUCCCCCUCUAAGACCCUGAGCAGAGAACCCAUUCAAGCUGUACCUGGGUUUCUGACUUACAGAACCAUGAGCUCACAAACGAGUUUGGUUUUAAGCUGCUAAGUGUGUAGGAAUUUGUUUUGUUGCCAUAGAAAACAGAGCCUAUUACACCCUUUUUACAGAUGUGAAAACUGAAGCUUAAAAACAGUAAGCAAUUUGACCACAAGCAUCUAGCAAGUGAUGGGGCUGGGAGGGCAACUGAGAGGUGUCAGAUUCCAAAGCUUGGGAAACUUACUCCUGUGUUCCAUGACUUCCCAUAGAAAACCAUGUCACAUAGCCAGGAAGGGCCAGGGUCAUGAGGGAUACUAUUCCUCUGUUCCUUCGUUCGUUCGUUCGUUCGUUCGUUCAUUUAUUCAUUCAUUCAUUCAUUCAUUUUUAAGGACCAGGAGAAAAUGUGCGUUAUUAUUAAAAAUGAAAUUCUGAGUCAGAAGAAAAUCAAAUGUUGAGUGCGGCUUUGUACUUGAAGUGGCGUCCCAGUGGUUACCUUGAUAUUUAUUUCAGAGGAUAAUGCUAUAGAGUAAAAGAAGUUUCACAUGGGACUGUACUCAUUAAAUAUUUGAUUUCGGCUAGAGUGUCCAUUUCUACUUUUCUGCUCCAGCCUGACCAGAUGUGCUCAGAAAAUGUGGUUUCCCCUGAAUAUGUACAUCUGUCAAAAUUCCUGUCAAUGUUAGCACAACUGCCAAGAGAGUGAACAAAGAGAGUUAGCGAUUAACUUCAAAGAAUUUUGUUGGAGAGGAAUAAAGAUAUUUAAGGUCUGUUUUGUGAACUAAUUGCAUUUGCAUAUUUAUGGGAUUUACUGAUAUAGCAGUAAUUAAAAACUAUUUAGUAGUCUUAAAGGACACAUAACUCAGUUGCUGUUUGCAUAAUAAACACUUCUUAUUAUGUUUGCAUAAUAAAACCUCUCCCCCUCCUCCUUCCAAAAGACACUGGUCCAGCUAAGAGGUGUUGUAUCUUACUUGGAAAUAAUGGAGAGACAAAGUGCAAGGGCUCCUGGGAAUGUGGAGACGGGACUUCUGAGAGAAAUACAUCUCUAGGUAGCCUCUUAGUGACAGGCCUGACCCUAGACUGCAUUCAAGAAACAACAGAUUCAAACCUCAGAUUACUAAGUCUUUUUCUUAGCUGAUAUUUUAGGAAGGCUGAAUGCUUAGCUUCUGACAAUUCCAUUUUUUUUGUUUUAAUACACUGAUCUGCUUGAAAGGCCUGAACGGGGUUCACCUCACAUUCAUCCUUCCUAAAUAGCUUAGAGGGGUGUGGUGAGAUCUUUGAGUAAUGGAUAAAAAGUACUGUAUUAAUGAGUGAGAAGGGACCAUUUUCCUGAAAAAAUUCAUGAAAAAUUAAAUUUUCAUGAAAAAAAAGAUGAACAGGGAAGAGAUACCAAAUCUAAAGGCACCAAGUAAACAAGCUAAAUCCAGACAGGACAGUAAGAUUGGAAAAACAAAUAUCUGAGCCAUUUGGUGAUUCAGAGCAAGGCGAUCAAGGAAAGAUGGAGAAGCGUCUGUGUAUAAACUAUUUUGAAAACAAGUCAGUCACACAAAACCGUUCCCAUCUUGGCAGAAUUCAUCAGCCAAUAAAGAGCUGUAAUGGGCAGGAUCACCAGACUGUUGUUAAAUUAGCUAAUGAAGGUUGUAAUGUACCUGUAUUACACAUCAUUAGCAGUGGCCUUCCAGUAACAGAUGGGUACAUGAGGAAGUGAGAAGAAAAGGGAGGGGAAAGCAUAUCCCAGAAGGUCUGACUUACCAUGGCUUGCUAAAAUAAAAUGUGUGGCAAGAAUGUAAUGCCGAUCAUCAUCACGAUUAAACCUUUGCAUAAAGGGAAGCUUCUGUGUCGCCUUCCCAUAAAAAGUGCUAGGUACAUAGAUAUGUCUGUCUGCAGCUUGCUUUUCUCCUCAUGGUAAGUGCUGGGACUUUGGUGGCCAGAUCAGUCUUUGGUGAUUGUAUCUCUUGAUAAAGCCCCAUUUAUCUGGCCAUCCUCUUUCAAGGAUGUUUCUAAACUUUCCAUAAGUUUGUAUCAAAUUUUCACUACCAGGUUACAUUUCUUUUUUUUUUUUUUUCUGAAAUAUUUUCAAAUACACAGCAAGACUGGGAGAAUAGUAAAAUGAAUCCCGCCCCCAACCGUUUGAGAGUAGUUUGCCAACAUGAUGCUCUGUCGCCUGUGAGUGCUUAGAAUGUGAUUCUUACGAACAAGAACAUUACAUGAUCUCAAUUCCAUCAAAAUCGGGAGUCUCUAGGCCCCCACCUUGGGUUUUGCGAAGUCUCCCCAAGAUGUUCUUUGUAACAAAAGGAUCCAAUCCAGAGUCACACAUUGCACCCAGUUGUCAUGUCUCCUUAAUCGGCUUUAUGGGACACGGUUUCUCCGUCUUUCCUCAGCUUCCCUAACCUUGACACUUUUGAAGAUUAUAAGCUGUUUUGUAGAGUGUCCCACAGCAUGGGGUUAUCUGGUGUCUCCUUCCAGAUAGAUCCAAGUUUUGAAUUUUUGGCAGGAUGAUCACAGAAGUGCAGCUGUGUCUUCUCAGUCCCUCCUAUCUCAUGGCACACAACUCCCGUGAUUGGUAACGUUAAUUUUCAUCAUUUGAUUAACGUGUUGUCUGCCAGAUUUCUCCACAGAAAGUUUUUUGUUUUUUUUGUUUUUUUUGUUUUUUUUUUUUACUCAUUCUGAUUAAUAAGUAUGUUGUGUAAGUGUCCUGUUUUUCAUCAAACUUUUGCCAGCUAGGUUUUAUCAGCCACUGAUGUUUUUUGAGUGAAUUAUGACUAUGAAGAUUCUGACAUUCCUUCUACAUGUAUUAGUUGGCAUUCUAACUUAAGGAAAAGUCUUUAUUUCAUUCAUUUAUUUAAAUCAGCAUGGACUUGUGGAUUCGUUUUUUUUUUUUUUAAUUUUUUUAAUGUUUAUUUUUGAGAGAGAGAGAG
This is a long non-coding RNA of Prionailurus viverrinus (fishing cat), 6110 nucleotides long. RefSeq lists it as uncharacterized. The transcript has 5 exons. The record is from RefSeq and is a predicted model, not a curated record. NCBI's taxonomy places the organism in Eukaryota, Metazoa, Chordata, Mammalia, Carnivora, Felidae.